GGGAAUGUGGCUUAGUGGUAGAGUGCUUGCCUAGCAUGCAUGAAGCCCUGGGUUUGAUUCCCCAGUACCA
This is a non-coding RNA of Dipodomys ordii (Ord's kangaroo rat), 70 nucleotides long. The record is from Rfam. Lineage: Eukaryota; Metazoa; Chordata; Mammalia; Rodentia; Heteromyidae.